CGGAAAAGGAAAAGUGUACAUCCGACCACAAAACACUGUUGUACUAAUACAAACAGAUAAACCUACGUAUAAACCUGGCCAGAAAUUGCUGUUUCUCGUGUCUCCUAUGAACGCAAAUUUACAGCCGAUAGGUGGAGCUGAUGAAACGAACGUAAUAUGGGCUGAAGAUCCUUCAGGUAUACGAGUUGCACAAUGGAGAAAUAUGACGUUUAAAAAAAAGGUGA
Long non-coding RNA from Limulus polyphemus (Atlantic horseshoe crab), 224 nucleotides. RefSeq lists it as uncharacterized. The transcript has 3 exons. NCBI's taxonomy places the organism in Eukaryota, Metazoa, Arthropoda, Merostomata, Xiphosura, Limulidae. The record is from RefSeq and is a predicted model, not a curated record.